GGGGUAGGUGAGAGAAUCGACAUGGUCUGACUGAAGACAGUAAACUUAGUACUUUCUGGGAGGCAACCUAGUUUUAGCUUCUACUUUUUGAUAUUUUUUAUAUUUUGUUUAGGUUAAUCGAGUCUUACUUAGUAUCUUUUGUAGAGAUUUGAAGACAAAAUUGGCUAAGUUGGGGGGAGAACUAAUUUUGAAAAGACUUUUGGAUCAGGUGACAUCUCUCUUUUUCUUUUUUUCUCUUUGUAUGUACCCUUUAUUUUUUCUACUCCAUUAAGGAUAAUGUCAACUAAGUUGGGAGGAAGAAUAAUAAAUUUUUAAAGUC
RNAcentral lists this long non-coding RNA (319 nucleotides) under Elaeis guineensis (African oil palm). Its description in RNAcentral is "long non-coding RNA (EGUI_LNC051302)". The record is from RNAcentral. Lineage: Eukaryota; Viridiplantae; Streptophyta; Magnoliopsida; Arecales; Arecaceae.